GCAAGUCGAACGAGAAGCAUUUCUUCGGAUUUGUGGAAAGUGGCGAACGGGUGCGUAACACGUGAGCAAUCUGCACUAAAGUACGGAAUAGACUGUCGAAAGAUGGAUUAAUGCCGUAUGUGACUUUUUACCGCAUGGUAAACCUGUUAAAGCUUGUAAUGGCGCUUUAGGAUGAGCUCGCGGCCUAUCAGCUUGUUGGUGAGGUAAUAGCUUACCAAGGCUAAGACGGGAAGCUGGUCUGAGAGGAUGAUC
RNAcentral lists this ribosomal RNA (252 nucleotides) under uncultured bacterium. RNAcentral's name for it is "partial 16S ribosomal RNA". It matches the Rfam family "Bacterial small subunit ribosomal RNA", at positions 57 to 305 of the family's 1533-position model. The record is from RNAcentral.